CUGUAGCUUGGGAUGAUCACGGAGUGUGCUGCUUUUGUAGUCACCUCGAAUGCCCUCAUGAACCUGUGCACAACUCGGAAGGGAACGGAUCUCUUGGCUCUCGCAUCGAUGAAGAACGCAGCGAAAUGCGAUAAGUAAUGUGAAUUGCAUGUUGCUGUUUCAGCGAAUUCGCCUCCUCUAGAGGUAUGUGCACGCCUGGAUCGUUCAUCCUCCCUUUCUUACACCGCUAUGAACGCUUUUAUAUACACCUUUAUAAAGUCUUGUAGAAUGUUGAUAAGCGUGUAACAGCGCGAAAAUAAUACAACAGUGAAUCAUCGAAUCUUUGAACGCACCUUGCUCCUUGGUAUUCCGAGGAGCAUGCCUGUGAGUGUCAUGAAGUUCUCAACUGCUUUGACUUUAUUGUGAAGUGAAGUGGAUUUGGAGGAUCUUUGCUGGCGCGAGCUUGUGUGCAGAUUGCAUGCUUGCUUGCUUGUCGGCUCCUCUUAAAAUUAUGAAACCUUUCCAGUAGAUCUUGGCGAAAAGAGUAUCUUCGACGUGAUAACUAUCUGCGUCGUUGAGAAAGCUUAAGCAACCUCAAAUCAGGUAGGACUACCCGCUGAACUUAAGCAUAGACUGCUUCAAAGCAGGGCCCUUCAAAACUAAGGCUCCUACAGGGAAACGUUAAUGCGUAUGUCUUCUUCCAGUGAGCCUUG
This 692-nucleotide ribosomal RNA is filed under the name Sarcodon imbricatus. Its description in RNAcentral is "eukaryotic LSU rRNA". The stretch from base 72 to 206 matches the Rfam family "5.8S ribosomal RNA". Lineage: Eukaryota; Fungi; Basidiomycota; Agaricomycetes; Thelephorales; Thelephoraceae. The record is from RNAcentral.